UCACUUUUCUUCCUCCUGGCAUUUUUCCCCUUCCUCCCCCAGGUUCACAUGGGAAUCAAUUACCUUCCCAUGUGAUGUUAAGAUGUCCCUGGGGAGGAGAGGUGGAACGUCACUCCUAUGACAGGUGGAACGUGACAAACACUGGAGCAGAGAAAAAGAGCAACAGGUUCCUGUGGCUCCUCUCCUCGGACCCCCGCGAGCAAACCGCCAGCUCUCCAUUGCAUUCUGGAUUUCUGCUCACUUGGCUUUUGCUCAGUGUCUCAGGUGCAGCUAGGUUCUAGGGCCCCUUGGAGAAACCGUGAAGAGUUCCAGUCUUGUACCAUGACUCCAAGAAACAAAAUGAGAUCGAGUUCAGCACUGGGAAGGUUAGAGACCUCUGAGGACUGGAGCAUCCUGAAUGCAGCUGCAGUUGUUGCUGAGUCAGUGGUUCCUCGGGCUCCAUCCUGUCUGGCUGGGCUGAGGUCACAGAAGGCAGAAACUCAGAGACCAGCCCCUCCAGACUGGCUGCUGAAGGAGUACCUGAAAGGGCAAAGGAUGAGAAGCCAUUCUGUAGACAUGGAAGACGUAGCCCAGGGGAAAACUCCACCACCUCACGCGGACCUGACCAGGAGCCUGAGGAGAGGAAAGAUUGAACAUCAAGUGACCCUGGAAGAUCUGAAAAAACUAAACAUAGCCUUUCAGGAUGACUUCUGUACCUACCUACAGCUAGAGUAUUCAGAACAGUCUGGCUUAUUGGCCCGGCAGAAAGAGGUUUACUUUGCCAUGCCUGCAUUGUCCCAGGGGCUAUCUCACAGUGGGCCUGUCCUUCGAAUUUUCUCUCUGCCUGAUGAUACUUUAAUCAUGAUGGGAGAACAUGGAGUCAUUUCUUUCUGGUCGCCACAGCUGACAUUGAAAAGAAGAAAGCUGGUUUUCGACAAAGCCAUUAACCGGAAAUCUAAGUGGGUGACGGAUUUUAUAAGCAUGCCACAGUAUAACAAACUGCUCGUUGGGACUGGAGAUCGUGAAAUCCAGCUGUAUGAACUCUCCAAUAUGGAGCCUUAUUGUCAGAUUGGCAGCUUGGAUAGCAUACCUCUGAAACUAGACUACUGUUACGUGGAUCCCGACAAAUGCUUGAUUUUGUAUGGCGAUGACCAGGGAUGCGUGAACAUUCUGUUUUUGGCUUCUGUGGGAGAGCUAUUAAGAACCUGGAAGAAGCUGCCUCCAGUAGAAAACAUGCCAACUGUUAGAAUUGGCAGUGCAUUGUGUUCUCCCAAUGUCAAAUAUGUUCGUUGGAAAGUACACGAAGACUGGGUGACUCAGCACAUUUGAAGUUGCUGCGCUAAAAUAUCCUACUGGUUCCUGUGCGUGAAGAGGAUGUUUCUUUUCCUUUAUCCCAGAGAAUGAGUUGGUUAAAAUGACUCAGUGCUCCUAGGACGAUGACAUGCCCCUGUGACUUCUCAUCUGGGGGGACUUAUAUCAGUGCAGUUGAAGUUCUUCUGAAAGCAAGGCAUUGUCCUUCAUAUUGAAUCCAUGCUGAAGUUAGCUCCAAAGAGAACUGCUGAUCCAGGAAAGAAGAGCAGGAGGAUGUUCUGAGCACAGGUGCUUCAGAACAAUUGGAAUGGUGACACCUGUUAGACGAAGGUAAACUGACAUGGAGCAGCUAGGUGGCACAGCACUGGACCUGGAGUCAGGAAGACUCAUCUUCCUGAGUUCAAAUCCAACCCCAGACACUUACUAGCUGAAUGACCCUGGACAAGUCACUUGACUUUGUUUGCCUCAGUUUCCUCAUCUGUAAAAUGACCUGGAGAAGGAAACAGCAAAUCACUCCAGUAUCUUUGCAAAAAAAAAAAAUCCAAACAGGGUCAUGAAGAGUUGGACACAACUGAAACAACUAAACAACAAACUGGCAUUUAUAUAUCUCUGUCCAAAUUUCUAAGUCUCCUUUGAACAAAUAGAGAGUUAAACUGGACGAUGGGGAGUAGCAUUAAAAUAGUCUUAUUUAUAAAAAGGGAGGAGGAAUGGGAGUGUGGGAAAAUACCAUAGAGGGAAGAAAUAGCCAUUAAAAGCAUCAAGGCAAUUUGAUAGGUGAAAUGGGGAAUAAAAAGACAAAGAAAGGCUUGAAAAGAAAAAAA
This is a long non-coding RNA of Phascolarctos cinereus (koala), 2111 nucleotides long. The record is from Ensembl. NCBI's taxonomy places the organism in Eukaryota, Metazoa, Chordata, Mammalia, Diprotodontia, Phascolarctidae.